UACGGAGGGUGCAAGCGUUAUCCGGAUUCACUGGGUUUAAAGGGUGCGUAGGUGGGUUGGUAAGUCAGUGGUGAAAUCUCCAGGCUUAACUUGGAAACUGCCAUUGAUACUAUCAAUCUUGAAUGCCGUGGAGGUCAGCGGAAUAUGUCAUGUAGCGGUGAAAUGCUUAGAUAUGACAUAGAACACCAAUUGCGAAGGCAGCUGGCUACACAAAUAUUGACACUGAGGCACGAAAGCGUGGGGAUCAAACAGG
This 253-nucleotide ribosomal RNA is filed under the name uncultured bacterium. RNAcentral describes it as "partial 16S ribosomal RNA". It matches the Rfam family "Bacterial small subunit ribosomal RNA", at positions 524 to 776 of the family's 1533-position model. The record is from RNAcentral.